UAGAACAAUAUAGCUAGGGAAGUCGGCAAGUUCGAUCCGUAACUUCGGGACAAGGAUUGGCUCUGAGGACUGGGCCCGUCGAGCUGGGGUCCGAAGCGGGUGUGGCAGUGCACCGGGACUGGGCGAGACUGGCCGUGAAAGCGGUCCGGUCCUGCUCGGACCAGCGACGGGGCCUUCCCUUGGAAUGCCUCAGAUGCGUGGCGCAACGGGAGCAAAGCUCAGAGUGACUGUUUCGGCGGGCAACUGACAGUCGACUCAGAACUAGCACGGACUAACGGACAGUGCGAAAUGGCGAAAUAAACACCAACGAGGCAUUGUAGCCAAUUCUUAUUUA
Molecule: non-coding RNA, 334 nt
Filed under: Stegodyphus mimosarum
Lineage: Eukaryota; Metazoa; Arthropoda; Arachnida; Araneae; Eresidae
Description: eukaryotic large subunit ribosomal RNA
Rfam family: Eukaryotic large subunit ribosomal RNA
Source: Rfam by way of RNAcentral